This 468-nucleotide ribosomal RNA is filed under the name uncultured bacterium. RNAcentral describes it as "partial 16S ribosomal RNA". It matches the Rfam family "Bacterial small subunit ribosomal RNA", at positions 29 to 507 of the family's 1533-position model. The record is from RNAcentral.
UACUAACGCUGGCGGCGUGCUUAACACAUGCAAGUCGAACGGAAAGGCCCUGCUUUUGUGGGGUGCUCGAGUGGCGAACGGGUGAGUAACACGUGAGUAACCUGCCCUUGACUUUGGGAUAACUUCAGGAAACUGGGGCUAAUACCGGAUCGGAGCUCCUGCUGCAUGGUGGGGGUUGGAAAGUUUCGGCGGUUGGGGAUGGACUCGCGGCUUAUCAGCUUGUUGGUGGGGUAGUGGCUUACCAAGGCUUUGACGGGUAGCCGGCCUGAGAGGGUGACCGGCCACAUUGGGACUGAGAUACGGCCCAGACUCCUACGGGAGGCAGCAGUGGGGAAUAUUGCACAAUGGGCGGAAGCCUGAUGCAGCAACGCCGCGUGCGGGAUGACGGCCUUCGGGUUGUAAACCGCUUUCGCCUGUGACGAAGCGUGAGUGACGGUAAUGGGUAAAGAAGCACCGGCUAACUACGUG